RNAcentral lists this ribosomal RNA (380 nucleotides) under uncultured cyanobacterium. Its description in RNAcentral is "bacterial SSU rRNA". It matches the Rfam family "Bacterial small subunit ribosomal RNA", at positions 376 to 770 of the family's 1533-position model. The record is from RNAcentral. Lineage: Bacteria; Bacillati; Cyanobacteriota.
CGCAAGCCUGACGGAGCAAGACCGCGUGGGGGAGGAAAGCCUUUGGGUUGUAAACCCCUUUUCUCAGGGAAGAAGAAAGUGACGGUACCUGAGGAAUCAGCCUCGGCUAACUCCGUGCCAGCAGCCGCGGUAAGACGGAGGAUGCAAGCGUUAUCCGGAAUUAUUGGGCGUAAAGCGUCCGUAGGUGGUUACGAAAGUCUGUUGUUAAAGCCCACAGCUCAACUGUGGAUCGGCGAUGGAAACUGCGUGACUUGAGUGUGGUAGGGGUAGAGGGAAUUCCUAGUGUAGCGGUGAAAUGCGUAGAUAUUAGGAAGAACACCAGUGGCGAAGGCGCUCUACUGGGCCAUAACUGACACUGAUGGACGAAAGCUAGGGGAGCG